RNAcentral lists this transfer RNA (73 nucleotides) under bacterium. RNAcentral's name for it is "tRNA-Val". It matches the Rfam family "tRNA". Rfam says of the family: Transfer RNA (tRNA) molecules are approximately 80 nucleotides in length. Their secondary structure includes four short double-helical elements and three loops (D, anti-codon, and T loops). RNAcentral also lists the same sequence under 1 other name. The record is from RNAcentral.
GGGCGAUUAGCUCAGUUGGUAGAGCGCAUGCUUCACAUGCAUGAGGCCAGAGGUUCGAGUCCUCUAUCGCCCA